This 253-nucleotide ribosomal RNA is filed under the name uncultured bacterium. RNAcentral's name for it is "partial 16S ribosomal RNA". It matches the Rfam family "Bacterial small subunit ribosomal RNA", at positions 524 to 776 of the family's 1533-position model. The record is from RNAcentral.
UACGAAGGGGGCUAGCGUUGCUCGGAAUCACUGGGCGUAAAGGGUGCGUAGGCGGGUUUUUAAGUCAGAGGUGAAAUCCUGGAGCUCAACUCCAGAACUGCCUUUGAUACUGAAGAUCUUGAGUCCGGAAGAGGUGAGUGGAACUCCGAGUGUAGAGGUGAAAUUCGUAGAUAUUCGGAAGAACACCAGUGGCGAAGGCGACUUACUGGACACAUAUUGACGCUGAGGUGCGAAAGCGUGGGGAGCAAACAGG